RNAcentral lists this ribosomal RNA (467 nucleotides) under uncultured bacterium. RNAcentral's name for it is "partial 16S ribosomal RNA". It matches the Rfam family "Bacterial small subunit ribosomal RNA", at positions 28 to 507 of the family's 1533-position model. The record is from RNAcentral.
GACGAACGCUGGCGGCGUGCUUAACACAUGCAAGUCGAACGGAAAGGCUCCAGCUUGCUGGAGUACUCGAGUGGCGAACGGGUGAGUAACACGUGGGUGAUCUGCCCUGCACUUCGGGAUAAGCCUGGGAAACUGGGUCUAAUACCGGAUAGGACCGCACUUUGGUGUGUGUGGUGGAAGGUUUUUCUGGUGUGGGAUGAGCUCGCGGCCUAUCAGUUUGUUGGUGGGGUAAUGGCCUACCAAGACGGCGACGGGUAGCCGGCCUGAGAGGGUGGACGGUCACAUUGGGACUGAGAUACGGCCCAGACUCCUACGGGAGGCAGCAGUGGGGAAUAUUGCACAAUGGGGGAAACCCUGAUGCAGCGACGCCGCGUGGGGGAGGAAGGCCUUCGGGUUGUAAACUCCUUUCGCUAGGGACGAAGCUUUUUGUGACGGUACCUGGAGAAGAAGCACCGGCUAACUACGUG